UGGCUCAGCAGUUAAGAGCACUGGNUGUUCUUCCAGAGGACCUGGGUUCAAUUCCCAG
This 58-nucleotide transfer RNA is filed under the name Neotoma lepida (desert woodrat). It matches the Rfam family "tRNA", at positions 8 to 63 of the family's 71-position model. Rfam says of the family: Transfer RNA (tRNA) molecules are approximately 80 nucleotides in length. Their secondary structure includes four short double-helical elements and three loops (D, anti-codon, and T loops). Further hydrogen bonds mediate the characteristic L-shaped molecular structure. tRNAs have two regions of fundamental functional importance: the anti-codon, which is responsible for specific mRNA codon recognition, and the 3' end, to which the tRNAs corresponding amino acid is attached (by aminoacyl-tRNA synthetases). tRNAs cope with the degeneracy of the genetic code in two manners: having more than one tRNA (with a specific anti-codon) for a particular amino acid; and 'wobble' base-pairing, i.e. permitting non-standard base-pairing at the 3rd anti-codon position. The record is from Rfam by way of RNAcentral. Lineage: Eukaryota; Metazoa; Chordata; Mammalia; Rodentia; Cricetidae.